This 295-nucleotide long non-coding RNA is filed under the name Olea europaea (common olive). Its description in RNAcentral is "long non-coding RNA (OEUR_LNC004502)". The record is from RNAcentral. Lineage: Eukaryota; Viridiplantae; Streptophyta; Magnoliopsida; Lamiales; Oleaceae.
ACGGAUCAUCUUUUAAAGAACUAGUCUAUGCUACGUGCGAUGCACGAGCUGUGCAUGAAUUAUGGUUUAGUUAGCGUAUGUAUUAAAUAUGUUUAAAAAUAUAUGAAAAGUUGGAAUUAUUGACAAGGAACUAACUAGUUAUACGAGUUGAUCACUCGUCUUUCUUCCACCAAAUGUCAUUUUUCUACAAAAAGUUGCAAAAUCAAUAAAAUUAUUAAUAAUGAGAAUUCAAGUCAUAGUUAGUCAAAAAAAUACUCCAUUGGACAAUAAAAGUAUUCCAAGCAAAAAAAGCUAG